Molecule: long non-coding RNA, 2123 nt
Organism: Colias croceus (clouded yellow)
Lineage: Eukaryota; Metazoa; Arthropoda; Insecta; Lepidoptera; Pieridae
Exons: 2
Source: RefSeq, a predicted model, not a curated record
UGUUGCUCUUAGCGUCACCACAUAUAUAGCCCAUAGCGAACAGCCGCUGCUGCGCGACCUGCGCCUGCCGCCCGACACAGCCGCGCCCGCGCACAGACAGAUCGCGACGGAGCUGGCGGAGCGCGCGGCGGAGCUCUGCCUGGGGUCCGCUGCGGGCGAGCGGAGCGGGCCCUAGCCAGUGUUAGCAACCUGAAGCGAACCGAUUAUUGUACCAGGGGCGUAAAAUUAUCGUAAAUUUAGCAUAUUUGGAUAGAAAUUAUUGUGUUUUUAGGAUAAAGUCAAGUAUAAAUAAAUAAAUCAUAUAAAUUGUAAUAUUGAUAGGUAUGCAAGUUCUCUACAGUUAAUCUUUUUUAAACUACUGCUGUCAAAUCAACAGGACACUGAAACCCAUUGGGUAAAUACCCAAAAUUUCACUGUUCCCAUGAAAGUUCGAUAUGAAACACGUCAAAAUUUCAUAUUUGUAUGGGUGAAAUAAUAUUAAUUCGAGAAUUUUGCAUGAUAGAAAUUAUCGCACGAUAAUACUAUGCUAUCGUACAUCGUACGUAGGCACAAAAUUAUCGUGUUUGUACAAUAAUUAUUGUACGGUUCCGAACACUGGCCCUAGCGCACAAGCACUCUACAGUCAUCAUUAUUGGUGUCAUUACAUUUCACACGACCCUCAUAUUGGAUAACAUUGAUCUUUUUUCCGACCCAUAUAUCGACCAAUAGAAUUGCACCAUUCGACGUCACGUGGUACAACCCACAUGGUAUUAUACUGAUAAUUUUUUGAAAAUUUUCUCUGGUCGUUGACGUCAAACUGACAGGUUGAAUUCAAUUGUGAAAUUAUUGGCCGACAUUUGGGACGGAAAAAUAAUCCCCCGAAUACCACACGAGCUUCAAAAUUAUCUGGCAUUUCCCUCAAGGUUCCCUGCAAACAAAUAAAGUCGUCAAGUUUUUCAGGUUUUUUUAACCUUGACUAAAAACUUGACUCCUUCAUUUGUUUGCAACGAACCUAUCGGAAAAUACCCGAUAAUUUGGAAGCUCUUGUGGUAUUAUAAGUGAGCAUUCAAAUCAUUCUAAACAAUUGUAAAAUCCAACAACACGAGUGAAAAUUGAUAUUUUAAUUUGUGUAAUAAACGAUGAAAUUCGAAAAUUUAGUUUAAAACCUACUUUGUAUAGAACGAAUUGUAAAAACGCGUUCACUCGACCUAAGUAUCUAAUAUGAUAUCAAUAAACUAAUCUGAAUUAUUACUGACUACAAUUCCUAUUUUCAUUAUGUAAGUAGGUAUUCCAAUUAUCUUUAUACUAGAUACCGAAUCUCGAUUAAACGCGUUUAAUUAUAUCUCCUUGUGAUGUUAUAUUUUUAUGUGCUUUUCCGUAAAUCGUUGUUUCAUUUUCGAAUGUCACUUUAAAAAGUAACAAAACACGGCGGACCUACCGUGUUUCGAACAAAAUGCAUGAAAACUUUCAUUAGUAGAUAGUUAAGUCUUGUAUUUUUUAAAGCAUGCAAUAAUUUGUAUUUCAUUCAUAAACAUAAUUGGUGUAACGAAACGUUUUUUGCUUUAAACAGUUUCACAAUACAUUUUUGUAAUUAUUAUUUUCAUUUCAAUAAUUAUUUACCUAGCCAAAUUAUUACAAACAAAAUAAAUCUUGUGUAGAGCAAUUUAAAUCUCGAUAAUUAUUUCUACUUUUUUAACCGCCUCAUUCAGUCGUAGAGCUGUCAAAUGUCGAUUGCGCGGCAAAUUUGUAUUUUUUUUUUCAUUUUGAAAAUUUCAUCAGCUGUUGUUUUACAGUAUUUUUCUAUGAAAUGUAAUGCAGUUUACAAUAAAAACAAUGUAUAUCGAAACAAUACAGCUUUGUCUGAAUAUUAAAAUAUGUUCUCAGUUAAAUUACUUAUUACUAUUUUUCGUACAUUUCGAUAUCAGUUGAAAAUAUUAUAUCAUAUAAAAUUUUUGGUUAAUGCAACUGGUAUAACAAGAUAAUGCGCUUUCGUAUUUUAACUAAUUAGUUCAAUAUUAAUUUAGUUGUAAAAUACGUUAUUUUGUUAUUAAUUUUAAUAAUAUUGUAAGGAAUCUAAUUCAGUGUUAGAUUUUCAAAAUUAGACUAAGGAUAAUUUGUAAUUGUAAUAAAUAUUUUUGGAUGUA